GACGAACGCUGGCGGCGUGCUUAACACAUGCAAGUCGAACGGAAAGGCCCUGCUUUUGUGGGGUGCUCGAGUGGCGAACGGGUGAGUAACACGUGAGUAACCUGCCCUUGACUUUGGGAUAACUUCAGGAAACUGGGGCUAAUCUCGGAUAGGAGCUCCUGCUGCAGGGUGGGGGUUGGAAAGUUUCGGCGGUUGGGGAUGGACUCGCGGCUUAUCAGCUUGUUGGUGGGGUAGUGGCUUACCAAGGCUUUGACGGGUAGGCGGCCUGAGAGGGUGACCGGCCACAUUGGGACUGAGAUACGGCCCAGACUCCUACGGGAGGCAGCAGUGGGGAAUAUUGCACAAUGGGCGGAAGCCUGAUGCAGCAACGCCGCGUGCGGGAUGACGGCCUUCGGGUUGUAAACCGCUUUCGCCUGUGACGAAGCGUGAGUGACGGUAAUGGGUAAAGAAGCACCGGCUAACUACGUG
Molecule: ribosomal RNA, 468 nt
Filed under: uncultured bacterium
Lineage: Bacteria
Description: partial 16S ribosomal RNA
Rfam family: Bacterial small subunit ribosomal RNA
Source: RNAcentral